AUUAUUAUAAAAUUAUUUCAUUCAAACACAUAAGCAAAUUCAAGCAAAAAUUCAAAAAUAUUUAUGAAUAAAUUAGACUAAGCAAAUUAUUUUUUAAAUUAUAAUAACUAUGUGUACUUUCAAAAAUAUGAUUAAUUGAAAACUGAAUACUUAGUCACUACCAGUUAUCAUGUGGAAAAAAUUAUACAACAAAAAUUCUAUAUCAUUCUUCUUGAAGUUUGAAAGGGAAGCCGAUUACUUUAUUUAUGUCACAGAUUAUCACCAAUUAUGGUUUUUAGAACUACAUGAACAGGAUUUAAUUUCUUUGCUGCAAAAUUCUAACUUAUUAUUAGAAGUUUGCACAGAUGAAUUAUUGAGAAAUGGUGUAAAUAUGCUGGCAGAUCCAAUAAAUUUGAAAAAUAUUGAUAUAGUAGAAGAGGAGAAUUUAUUAAAAGUUUCAAUGACUAAGAGUUAUCCAUAUCCAUUAAAAUUGGUAAUGAAGCUCACACAUGGACCUAAUGAAAUGUUUUUUCAACAUGUGACACAGCCUUUAUUAAUGACAAUACAAGAUUUGAAAAGAAGUGAGAGUGAAUUAAGAGAUUUGCUGAUAUGUAAAGAUAAAGAGAUUGAAGAAUAUAAAAUGGAAGCCGGAGAAGUAUGCCUACGUUAUCUGAAGACAAAACCAUAUAAUGAUGCAGCUCACAUGGAAUGCCACACUAUGUAUAACAUAAAUUUUGGUUUAACAAAUGUUGAAACUUCGUUGCUGGAAAAAAGGAUCAAUGUCAAAAAUGUUGUCGUAAAACAAGAAUUUGAUCAAAAUCAUCGAGAAGUGAAAUUGGAAACCGAGACACAAGAUAAACCGUUAGACCAAGAAGUUAGAAAUAUCAAAACUGAAAUAAAAUCAGACCUUACAUCUAUAAUGAAUCCAAUGAAAAAGAAAAUAAAACUAAAUAUUUGAUUUUUUGAUUCUAUUGGUUAACAUUUUUGAAAGAUUUCAUUGUUUUAGUUACACAGAGUCUUUUAUAGACAUGAGGCUAAAUGAAGCGGUUGCCUAUUGUCACGUGAUGCUUUUCAGAAUUCUUGAAAAUCCAAUAUUCCGAACGGGACCCCGAUUGGGAUAGAUUUUUGAAUCAUGCACAUGUAGAUAUUGUCGUUGCCAGCCGUCAGUAUUACUUUCAAUGUUAUAUUCAGUCCAAUGCAGACUCUAUAGUAUAACGGAAGACGCUUGCGUUUAUUUGCCGCCCACAUACUCUUCAACACCAGAGGAAUCACAAGAGCGCUGCUAGUUUUUUUUUGAAGGUACCCAUGUCUUAUCGUCCUGGAAACAAAGCUAAUUGCACAGCUUCAGUCUAUGUGGAAAAAAGUUCCUGGAAAACCGCACUGUGGAGGAACGCACACAUCCAGAUAGUGGAGAUGAUAUUUUAAAUAGUGGCGUGUCGUGCGAAGGUGAAGGGUGAAGCACCCAUUGGAACAUUCCCCGUGAUGCGGUAAAGAUACACACAAUGAGACCUGCAUGGCCAGUGUAUACUGCAUCACCAGUACUGUCGUCUGCAUAUCAAUGAUAUGUUGCAGACCUCCAACAUAACAUAUGAAACAGUAUAGGAGAUAGCACACAACCUUAGGGCACUCCAGCUGUCACAGGCUUUGGGUUCGAGCAAUAAUCGUCGACAACAACCUGUAUGCUGCGCCCGGUGAGGAAGCUGGAGGUGCACUUGUAUAAACUCUUGGGAAGCCCAAAUGAUGUAUAAGAAAAUAAAACUUGUUUCAAUCUUAAGCACCGAUCACUACCAUUAAAAUUAGUAAAAGAAUACUCUAAGCUUGGUGGUCUACCUUAACGUGACAUUGGCAAACUUGUGGUAUACCUUCCACUGGAGCCAUAGUAGGAAGAAUAGAAUAGAAUAGGUUAAAGACUGAAAUGUGCCACCGUGAUGAAUGUAUUGAGCGGCGUAAUUCAUGGUUAUUAUCAGUUUCCACGUCGUUUUGUAAAUCUAUAUACUUAGGUAAAAUUAAAUUAUGAGAUAUAAUACUGAGAAUGAAACACAUUGUCAUUUUAAAUCAUUUAUUAAUGUACCUAUAAUUACUGAGUAUUCAUAUUAGAUAUGAUUAUCAAUUUACAAAUUAAUUUUAUUCCAAUCAUGCACGUAUCUAUGACAUCACAAAAGAAAAUAUUAAAAAAUUGUAAAAAGUG
This is a long non-coding RNA of Leptidea sinapis, 2167 nucleotides long. RefSeq lists it as uncharacterized. The transcript is spliced from 7 exons. NCBI's taxonomy places the organism in Eukaryota, Metazoa, Arthropoda, Insecta, Lepidoptera, Pieridae. The record is from RefSeq and is a predicted model, not a curated record.